UUCCAAUACUUGGUAAAGCCUACUACUAC
This 29-nucleotide small RNA is filed under the name Bombyx mori (domestic silkworm). Its description in RNAcentral is "ovarian small RNA-37105". Lineage: Eukaryota; Metazoa; Arthropoda; Insecta; Lepidoptera; Bombycidae. The record is from RNAcentral.